RNAcentral lists this long non-coding RNA (260 nucleotides) under Vigna radiata. RNAcentral describes it as "long non-coding RNA (VRAD_LNC005461)". Lineage: Eukaryota; Viridiplantae; Streptophyta; Magnoliopsida; Fabales; Fabaceae. The record is from RNAcentral.
CUAAAGUAGAGUUAGGGGUCUGUAAUAGAGAUAAUUAGAACUUAUUUAAUUGGGGUUUAGAGUGGUCAAUUCAAGUUAAAGUUUUGUUUUCAGAUGAUUCUUAGUGACUAAGAGGUUGUAGGAACCAUUUAAACUUGUGUAGAGGGUCACCAAAAUCAGAAGAGAGUUUUAGAACCUGGUGUAGUGCCAAGCGGCCUUUUAAGCACCACUCAGGUGCCUCCUAAGCGCCCUUUUUGUGAGAAGAACUCGCUUGAGCACCC